UGCUCGGCGAGGCCGUGGACACGUGCGGAGGUCGAACUGACACUCACAGCCCCCGCAGGAGGCCCGACGCGACCCGGCCCCGCAGGUGCGAUGCUUGUGGACUGAGACGCGCUCGGGCAGAGACUAUGUAAUCAUCUCCGUGUCUGUGCAGAAGACUUCUCUUCGGGGAGGGAAGAGGAGGGAUCGGCUCGCUCCUCCGGCGGCAGUGGCGGCGACUCCGCAGGCGGAGUUUCGCGGCGGCACCAGGGUUGCGCCAGCCCCGCGGGGAGGUCGCUCCAUACAGCCUCUGCGGUCGCGAGAGCCCCAGCGCCCGAGCGCCUGAGCCGGCUGGGGACGAAGGAGCGCGAGACCGAGCUCCCGGGAUCCCCGGAGGGGACGAGCGGCGGCCGCGACCAAAUCGAGCGCACCCCCCGCUCGCCCCAGCGGCGCCGUGCCGGGCGGCGUCCAGGCGGCAUGGAGAAGGACGGCCUGAGCCGCGCCGACCAGCAGUACGAGUGCGUGGCGGAGAUCGGGGAGGGCGCCUAUGGGAAGGUGUUCAAGGCCCGCGACUUGAAGAACGGAGGCCGUUUCGUGGCGCUGAAGCGCGUGCGGGUGCAGACGGGCGAGGAAGGCAUGCCGCUCUCCACCAUCCGCGAGGUGGCGGUGCUGAGACACCUGGAGACCUUCGAGCACCCCAACGUGGUCAGGUGAGUCGAGAGCUGCG
Molecule: RNA transcript, 703 nt
Organism: Propithecus coquereli (Coquerel's sifaka)
Lineage: Eukaryota; Metazoa; Chordata; Mammalia; Primates; Indriidae
Gene name: cyclin-dependent kinase 6 pseudogene
Exons: 2
Source: RefSeq, a predicted model, not a curated record